AAGACUAUACUUUCAGGGAUCAUUUCUAUAGUUUGUUACUAGAGAAGUUUCUCUGAACGUGUAGAGCACUGUUAUA
Small nucleolar RNA from Pongo abelii (Sumatran orangutan), 76 nucleotides. Its record names the gene U3. It matches the Rfam family "Small nucleolar RNA U3". Rfam says of the family: Small nucleolar RNAs (snoRNAs) are involved in the processing and modification of rRNA in the nucleolus. There are two main classes of snoRNAs: the box C/D class, and the box H/ACA class. NCBI's taxonomy places the organism in Eukaryota, Metazoa, Chordata, Mammalia, Primates, Hominidae. The record is from Ensembl.